Bombus terrestris (buff-tailed bumblebee) is the source of this 629-nucleotide long non-coding RNA. RefSeq lists it as uncharacterized. The transcript is spliced from 2 exons. The record is from RefSeq and is a predicted model, not a curated record. NCBI's taxonomy places the organism in Eukaryota, Metazoa, Arthropoda, Insecta, Hymenoptera, Apidae.
ACCUCGAAACACGCACGACACCUGGAAAAAGUAUAAAUAAUCGAGAAGAGGGAUACCAUAUUUUAUUGCUUCUUGGUCCAUUAGUCUCUAAUAGGUUGAUCUCCCAACUAAUAAGAACAUCAUGGAACACGCCGCAAGCAACUUUAACCUCAUGUCCCAUUAUGGUUACCAUUCUGGAAGGAGACAAACGAUUAUAAGAGGAAAACUUCACCUUGUCCGUUUGUUCUUCAAAAUAUUUGUUUAUAGUUUGGUCAUAGGUUAAAGACAAGAUAACACAAUUAAAUACGAUGAGUCACGAUAAAGGUUGCGUAGCUAUUUUUAUGGGGGCAACAUGCGCGACUCAGCCAGGUCUAUUAGUCAUGUCUGGACGUACGUUUUUUCCUCGAACAACUUGUUCGGUGCUUGCAGUAUGUUUGACAGUUGCUAUGGAACAUUUCAUAUACCGAAUAAAGAAAAGUUAUUUAUGUCCAUCGCGAUAAAAGAGAAGUAUAUUAUAGAAGCUUUUUACCAUCACACUAUUUCGUUAACAAAAAGUUAGAUGUUAGUUGAGAUAAAAGGAAAAUACCAUGGAAAUUUAUUGCCAACACGCUGUUUUGUUAAUAAAGACUUAGAUGUUUCUUUAAACAUAA